Molecule: long non-coding RNA, 370 nt
Filed under: Trifolium pratense (red clover)
Lineage: Eukaryota; Viridiplantae; Streptophyta; Magnoliopsida; Fabales; Fabaceae
Description: long non-coding RNA (TPRA_LNC010036)
Source: RNAcentral
UAGAUUUAUUAUUAUAUCAUUACGGGUAGCAAAUAGAAUAAUGCAUGGGAGGAGGAGAUUAGGAAUUUUUUUACAAUGAUUUUAUUUAUUUGAUGAACAAAUAUUCGAUGAAUAAAGAAUUUUUUUUUUAUUUGAUGGAAAUUUUUUUAUUACAAGACGAUUAUAUAAAUAAAUAAUUAAUUACAAACAAAACACUAAAAUUCCUAAUGUCUACGAUGUCUACGAUGGCCUCCGGUGCCACAAGGUGGAGGACCUGCAUUCCUCGGAUGUCCUCGUCCAUAUAAUUCCUCUUCCGCAUUUGUAUCGUCCCUGUUAAGAAAGUUCUCGAUUUCAUUAAGACUUAACGAGGAACCUUCACCAGCAGCCCACG